UUUAAACAACCGACCAUGUCUGCAUUUUACUGAAGGCUGUCCCAACACGACUUACCAAUCCAAACUGAUGCUGAAUUAUCCAGUUUGCACAAACAUUAACAAACAAAACAGAUGCUAUCUAGCUGACCCUUCCUGUCCUAGUUUACACAGUGACUUUGAUGUCACGACUGUCUCUCCUACAAUCAACGUCAGUCUAUUGUGGACCACUUCUACCAGACCGGG
Saccostrea cuccullata (small rock oyster) is the source of this 222-nucleotide long non-coding RNA. RefSeq lists it as uncharacterized. The record is from RefSeq and is a predicted model, not a curated record. The transcript is spliced from 3 exons. NCBI's taxonomy places the organism in Eukaryota, Metazoa, Mollusca, Bivalvia, Ostreida, Ostreidae.